This is a non-coding RNA of Bactrocera oleae (olive fruit fly), 742 nucleotides long. NCBI's taxonomy places the organism in Eukaryota, Metazoa, Arthropoda, Insecta, Diptera, Tephritidae. The record is from RefSeq and is a predicted model, not a curated record.
AAGUAGCACCUGCACUCCUUGGACACGCUAGCUUAGCUCAUGGUUUACCACUCGCUGCACCAGCCUUGGCACCACUCGCUGUUAAGACACUCGCCGCACCCGCUUUAGUGCAUACCGCCGUCGCUGGGCAUGGCGUGCAUUACGGUUACUAAGCAGAAACACAGUUAAGCAAACGGAGCGUAGGAGUGAGUGAGAGAGCAGCAGUAAUGGGUGGAGACGGAAGCGCUGAAAACGAAGCGACAGUACGCCAACGUCGUGACACUAAAUAACAAAAACAAAAAUAAAAAAAUUAACAUAAAAAAACUAAAAUAAAAAUAAAAAAUUUAAAAAUAAAAUUAAAGCCAAGCAGUAAAUAAGAAAAGAAGAAAAUAAAAUAUUACACAAUUAUGUAGGAGAACAGCAGGAAAUUACAACAAGCACACAAACACAAUAAAGCAAAUUCAUCUGCAUGCAUGUACAACAACGACACCGACAACAACAACAACAGCAGCAAACACCACAACAAUGAAUAACAACUAAGACAACACAAACGCCAAUAAAACACGCAUGAAUGGCAAACAAGAAAAUACAAACAAAAGCGGCAAAAAAAGCGAGCAAAAGCAAGCAAAAGCAAAAUGGCACUAGAAGCGGAAGCGUUGGUAAAAACAAGCGGGGGCUGAGGUGUAAAAAAUAGACACGAAAAAGCGCAUGCAUAAUUUGUAAAUAACUUUCGUUAUAUAUUUUGCGUGUAAAAAUGUGGCAA